CAACCCAUCAAGCGUACGCUUGGUCUUGGGGCUUGCGGUUUCGCAGCCUCUAAACUCAGUGGCGGUGCUAUUGAGCUCUGAGCGUAGUAAUUUUUCUCGCUAUAGGGUCUCGGUGGUGACUUGCCAGCAACCCCCAAUUUUUAUCA
This 146-nucleotide unclassified non-coding RNA is filed under the name uncultured Hymenoscyphus. RNAcentral describes it as "sequence contains ITS2". The record is from RNAcentral. RNAcentral also lists the same sequence under 1 other name. Lineage: Eukaryota; Fungi; Ascomycota; Leotiomycetes; Helotiales; Helotiaceae.